This is a long non-coding RNA of Nanorana parkeri, 480 nucleotides long. RefSeq lists it as uncharacterized. The transcript has 5 exons. The record is from RefSeq and is a predicted model, not a curated record. NCBI's taxonomy places the organism in Eukaryota, Metazoa, Chordata, Amphibia, Anura, Dicroglossidae.
GUAGCACGCAGAGUGAGGGCAGAGCGGCAGUAGCAGCGAUAGGCGGCCUCAGUCAUUCGACUCAGUGAGGGGUGGAGGAGCUCCGAGAGAAGCCUCGUCUGGAGCUGGAGGGCCACCAGAUAGAUGUUCAGCAUCCCAGACCUGAGUAGCUGUACCGGAGAGAGGCAUGAAAGUUUUUCAGAAAAUUAAGAUUUCAUUAUGGCGUAGAGGUAUCAGACAUUUCAAAAAGUGCGGCCGAGACAGGGAACGGAGCCCAGCAGGUAAGCAGUACAUCAUCUCCAUGAAGAAUGCUCAUUCAUCACAUGUCAGAGUGUGCAGUCAGCAAGAAUCCCGAGGAUGGCAAAUUUACGCCACUGCACCAUGACUGAGCAAAUAUUCAACUGAAUAGCCAAGGUAUCCCGAUUCCUUGCUUUGACUUCAUUCUUAUGCCCUCUGCACACCGGUCCCAUCACCUCUUGUGGGUUUAUACCAAGAAAGGAA